This 305-nucleotide ribosomal RNA is filed under the name uncultured bacterium. RNAcentral's name for it is "bacterial SSU rRNA". It matches the Rfam family "Bacterial small subunit ribosomal RNA", at positions 336 to 659 of the family's 1533-position model. The record is from RNAcentral.
UUCCUACGGGGGGCAGCAGUGGGGGAUAUUGGACAAUGGGGGAAACCCUGAUCCAGCGAUGCCGCGUGAGGGAAGAAGGUUUUCGGAUUGUAAACCUCUGUGGAGGGGGACGAUAAUGACGGUACCCCUUUAGGAAGCCACGGCUAACUACGUGCCAGCAGCCGCGGUAAUACGUAGGUGGCGAGCGUUGUCCGGAAUUAUUGGGUUUAAAGGGUGCGUAGGCGGACUGUUAAGUCAGCGGUAAAAGCCCGGGGCUCAACCCCGGCGAGCCGUUGAAACUGGCUGUCUUGAGAUGUCGGGAGGUG